This 29-nucleotide non-coding RNA is filed under the name Rattus norvegicus (Norway rat). The record is from RNAcentral. Lineage: Eukaryota; Metazoa; Chordata; Mammalia; Rodentia; Muridae.
UAAGUAAUUGUUGACUGAGUUGAGGCUUU